RNAcentral lists this long non-coding RNA (381 nucleotides) under Salvia miltiorrhiza (redroot sage). RNAcentral describes it as "long non-coding RNA (SMIL_LNC013566)". Lineage: Eukaryota; Viridiplantae; Streptophyta; Magnoliopsida; Lamiales; Lamiaceae. The record is from RNAcentral.
GGUUUUCGAUUAAAUAUGAAGCAGACAGCGUCGUUUUAUUCGAGUUGAUAGAGUUAAAUAUGCCCGAGAUCUUUCUCGGCGGUGAUGGUCGGAGCCGGAUCUUCUUUUACGCGGAGGCCAACGGCGGCUCCAGCGGAGGGGGAAACGCCCUCAUUCCCUCCUCUUUCAAUGUCGGAAUAGCCAUUGUUGUCACGGCCAUGGCCAGUCUCGCGCUCGCCGCCACCCUCGUCUACUCCUCCCGUAGGUAAAGACGAACACCAAUCAAAUCAAAUCAAUCAUGACUUUUCAUCAUCGAAAUUGAUUUUUAGUUGUAACCCUAGCAGACGGAUUUGGGAGUUUUUUUUUUUGUUGUAUAGGUUUGAAUUAGAUGAAGUAGACACA